AGCGGCGGACGGGUGAGUAACACGUGGGUAACCUGCCCAAGAGACUGGGAUAACACCUGGAAACAGAUGCUAAUACCGGAUAACAACACUAGACGCAUGUCUAGAGUUUGAAAGAUGGUUCUGCUAUCACUCUUGGAUGGACCUGCGGUGCAUUAGCUAGUUGGUAAGGUAACGGCUUACCAAGGCAAUGAUGCAUAGCCGAGUUGAGAGACUGAUCGGCCACAUUGGGACUGAGACACGGCCCAAACUCCUACGGGAGGCAGCAGUAGGGAAUCUUCCACAAUGGACGAAAGUCUGAUGGAGCAACGCCGCGUGAGUGAAGAAGGGUUUCGGCUCGUAAAGCUCUGUUGGUAGUGAAGAAAGAUAGAGGUAGUAACUGGCCUUUAUUUGACGGUAAUUACUUAGAGAGUCACGGCUAACUACGUGCCAGCAGCCGCGGUAAUACGUAGGUGGCAAGCGUUGUCCGGAUUUAUUGGGCGUAAAGCGAGUGCAGGCGGUUCAAUAAGUCUGAUGUGAAAGCCUUCGGCUCAACCGGAGAAUUGCAUCAGAAACUGUUGAACUUGAGUGCAGAAGAGGAGAGUGGAACUCCAUGUGUAGCGGUGGAAUGCGUAGAUAUAUGGAAGAACACCAGUGGCGAACGCGGCUCUCUGGUCUGCAACUGACGCUGAGCUCGAAAGCAUGGUAGCGAACAGGAUUAGAUACCCUGGUAGUCCAUGCCGUAAACGAUGAGUGCUAAGUGU
This 740-nucleotide ribosomal RNA is filed under the name uncultured bacterium. RNAcentral's name for it is "bacterial SSU rRNA". It matches the Rfam family "Bacterial small subunit ribosomal RNA", at positions 94 to 823 of the family's 1533-position model. The record is from RNAcentral.